CUGUUUGUAAUAUAUCAAGGAGCUAUACUCACAACACCAGUCAUGGGAUAGUUGCCAGUUCGUGUCUCAAGUGUCGUUGCAGCCAGAUUUCGGGAGGACCAAGCAUUCCAGCUCUGACCAUUCCACAGGGAGGUUAGUGGGACGUCUCUAUCGAAGGGUGUAGUACCUAGGAAGUACCACAUAGGACACUCGGCACCUGAUUUCCAAUGAUGACAAGGUCACACUGCUCAGCUAUCAAGCUGUGCUUGCUGACAGCGGCAGUGCUUUUGCUGACCUUCAACGCGGUCAGUUCGCCAGUCACUGACCCCUGUCCAUCGGCGGAUUUUUCUGGACACAGACACGCCCGUUCGUACUACAGUACGUCAUUCCCUUGCGGCUACUACAGCAACCAAUGGCAUUCCGUGCCUUAUGGCUACUACAACAACCGCUUCAUCUACAGGAAUCCUGCGCCCUAUGUCUACUACAACCACUUCGCCUACAAGAAUCCCGUCCAUUACGAACACGGUAGCAAACCUCUCCACAAGAAAGGGUCAGGAAGAAGCCGAAACGAAGGCCCAGGCCCUACUUCCUAGGCAACAGGAGGCUGCUCGCCAAUAGAGGCCGCUGGGACGAUAAGCUUUAGUUUUGUUUACGUUUUUCUAUGACUUCUUCUUCUUCUUCUUCUAGUUUCCAUCCGUCGUUAAAAGGGGCGUUUCGCGAUACGUUCCCUCAAAUCUGCGUUAUUAUUUAAUUUUUAAAAACUGCAAAAAUCAAUAAAAAGUAUAAAGGAAGA
This is a long non-coding RNA of Macrobrachium nipponense, 772 nucleotides long. RefSeq lists it as uncharacterized. Lineage: Eukaryota; Metazoa; Arthropoda; Malacostraca; Decapoda; Palaemonidae. The record is from RefSeq and is a predicted model, not a curated record. The transcript has 3 exons.